RNAcentral lists this ribosomal RNA (889 nucleotides) under uncultured Chloroflexota bacterium. Its description in RNAcentral is "bacterial SSU rRNA". It matches the Rfam family "Bacterial small subunit ribosomal RNA", at positions 8 to 918 of the family's 1533-position model. Lineage: Bacteria; Bacillati; Chloroflexota. The record is from RNAcentral.
AGAGUUUGAUUCUGGCUCAGGAUGAACGCUGGCGGCGUGCCUAAUACAUGCAAGUCGAACGGGGAUGCAGCGAUGUAUCCUAGUGGCGACCGGGUGCGUAACACGUAGCUGACCUGCCCCUCAGCGGGGGACAACAUGCCGAAAGGCGUGCUAAUACCGCAUGAACUGGAGGUGACUAGAUAGCCUUCAGGAAACCUACGGGGCUGAGGGAGGGGGCUGUGGCUCAUCAGGUAGUUGGUGGGGUAACGGCUCACCAAGCCGACGACGAGUAGGGGGCCUGAGAGGGUGACCCCCCACACUGGAACUGACACACGGUCCAGACUCCUACGGGAGGCAGCAGUAAGGAAUAUUGGGCAAUGGGCGCAAGCCUGACCCAGCAACGCCGCGUGGAGGAAGACGGUCUUCGGAUCGUAAACUCCUUUUGAGGGGGACGAGGAAGGACGGUACCCCUUGAAUCAGUGACGGCUAACUACGUGCCAGCAGCCGCGGUAAUACGUAGGUCACGAGCGUUAUCCGGAUUUACUGGGCGUAAAGCGUGUGCAGGCUGUUAGGUAAGUGGUGUGUGAAAGCGCUCGGCUUAACCGGGCGAGGUCAUGCCAGACUGCCUAGCUCGAGGCAGCCAGAGGGACAUGGAAUUCCGAGUGUAGCGGUGAAAUGCGUAGAGAUUCGGAGGAACACCAGAGGCGAAGGCGGUGUCCUGGGGCUGACCUGACGCUCAGACACGACAGCAUGGGGAGUGAACGGGAUUAGAAACCCCGGUAAUCCAUGCCGUAAACGAUGCAGACUAGGUGUCGGCGGUCUCAACCCCGUCGGUAUCGGAGCUAACGCGCUAAGUCUGCCGCCUGGGGACUACGGUCGCAAGACUAAAACUCAAAUGAAUUUGACGGGG